AUUCCAGCUCCAAUAGCGUAUAUUAAAGUUGUUGCGGUUAAAAAGCUCGUAGUUGGAUUUCUGCCGAGGAUGACCGGUCCGCCCUGUGGGUGUGCAUCUGGCUCAGCCUUGGCAUCUUCCUGAAGAACGUAGCUGCACUUGACUGUGUGGUGCGGUAUUUAGGACAUUUACUUUGAGGAAAUUAGAGUGUUUCAAGCAAGCGCACGCUUUGAAUACAUUAGCAUGGAAUAAUAAGAUAGGACCUCGGUUCUAUUUUGUUGGUUUCUAGAGCUGAGGUAAUGAUUGAUAGGGAUAGUUGGGGGUAUUCGUAUUUAAUUGUCAGAGGUAAAAUUCUUGGAUUUAUGAAAGACGAACUUCUACGAAAGCAUUUACCAAAGAUGUUUUCAUUA
RNAcentral lists this ribosomal RNA (389 nucleotides) under Biecheleria sp. RNAcentral's name for it is "partial small subunit ribosomal RNA". It matches the Rfam family "Eukaryotic small subunit ribosomal RNA", at positions 582 to 975 of the family's 1831-position model. Lineage: Eukaryota; Dinophyceae; Suessiales; Biecheleriaceae. The record is from RNAcentral.